GGUGGCGUGGCACAGUGGUUAAAGCGCUUGGCUGCUAACCAAAAGGUCGGAGGUUCGAACCCAUUAGCCCCUC
Molecule: transfer RNA, 73 nt
Filed under: Loxodonta africana (African savanna elephant)
Lineage: Eukaryota; Metazoa; Chordata; Mammalia; Proboscidea; Elephantidae
Rfam family: tRNA
About the family: Transfer RNA (tRNA) molecules are approximately 80 nucleotides in length. Their secondary structure includes four short double-helical elements and three loops (D, anti-codon, and T loops). Further hydrogen bonds mediate the characteristic L-shaped molecular structure. tRNAs have two regions of fundamental functional importance: the anti-codon, which is responsible for specific mRNA codon recognition, and the 3' end, to which the tRNAs corresponding amino acid is attached (by aminoacyl-tRNA synthetases). tRNAs cope with the degeneracy of the genetic code in two manners: having more than one tRNA (with a specific anti-codon) for a particular amino acid; and 'wobble' base-pairing, i.e. permitting non-standard base-pairing at the 3rd anti-codon position.
Source: Rfam by way of RNAcentral